RNAcentral lists this ribosomal RNA (456 nucleotides) under uncultured Methanosaeta sp. RNAcentral's name for it is "bacterial SSU rRNA". It matches the Rfam family "Archaeal small subunit ribosomal RNA", at positions 883 to 1338 of the family's 1478-position model. The record is from RNAcentral. Lineage: Archaea; Methanobacteriati; Methanobacteriota; Methanomicrobia; Methanotrichales; Methanotrichaceae.
AACGGGUGGAGCUUGCGGUUUAAUUGGAUUCAACGCCGGAAAUCUUACCGGGACCGACAGCAAUAUGAAGGCCAGGCUGAAGACUUUGCCGGAUUAGCUGAGAGGUGGUGCAUGGCCGUCGUCAGUUCGUACUGUGAAGCAUCCUGUUAAGUCAGGCAACGAGCGAGACCCACGCCCACAGUUGCCAGCGUACUCUCUGGAGUGACGGGUACACUGUGGGGACCGCCGCUGCUAAAGCGGAGGAAGGAAUGGGCAACGGUAGGUCAGUAUGCCCCGAAUAUCCCGGGCUACACGCGAGCUACAAUGGUUGGUACAAUGGGUAUCUACCCCGAAAGGGGACGGGAAUCUCCUAAAACCAAUCUUAGUUCGGAUUGAGGGCUGCAACUCGCCCUCAUGAAGCUGGAAUCCGUAGUAAUCGCGUUUCAACAGAACGCGGUGAAUACGUCCCUGCUCCUU